Long non-coding RNA from Manihot esculenta (cassava), 2134 nucleotides. RefSeq lists it as uncharacterized. NCBI's taxonomy places the organism in Eukaryota, Viridiplantae, Streptophyta, Magnoliopsida, Malpighiales, Euphorbiaceae. The transcript has 2 exons. The record is from RefSeq and is a predicted model, not a curated record.
CGCAUCUCACAGAGAAGUGUAAGCAGAAAUAGCCAUGCUUAAUGGGCAAAGCUUUCGAGAGGCAAGGGGUCAGUGUUCAGUACGGCUACUAUUGUUUACUUUCUUAACCUAAAUUAGCUUAGUUUGCUUCCAAUAAUUAAUGGUCAAAUUCUCUACGCUUUCCUUUUUAUAUCUCAACCAUGAGACUGCGUUCAACUUUUCCCAGCUGCAUUAGUAAGAAGCUCAAUGGUAAUGGAGUCAGGGACGAUAUAUAGAACUGUGGGUUGGAGUUUUACAGUUGGCUUUUGUGUAUACAGUUGAUUGGAUAAUGUUGGGUAUUAUUUCUUUUCUUUUUUUUUUUUCCCAGAGUUUAUGCAGUAUUAGAUUUGAUUAAAUGUCGUCCUAGAAUCAAUUGUGGAGUCGUUUGCUUAUUCCUCUUCCUAUGUAUUAGAAUCAAUUGUUGAUUGGGUAAUGUAGUUUGAUAUGGCAUUCUGAGAUUUUGCUAGGGACGCUUUAUUAGAUGAUCCAUUGUUGAUAUUGAAACUUAUAUUCUUAUCGUGAUUCACUGAUUUCAUGUUUUUACGUUGCUGACAUUUAGUCAAUUAUAUCAUGACUUCACGUGCUGUACAAGAAAGAUUAUUUGUUCUUCCUCCUUACUUUGGCAAUUAUUUCCAUUCAUUUCCCUUGCCCUUUGUUUUUGUUUUUUCAUUUUUAUGCAUAUUUGUGGUGAGAAGUAUAUAUAUAUAGCUAGGUUUUUAUAGAUAUUUCUAGCCUGUCUCCAUAAUGACUAUGCAGUUCAUAUUUGGAUUUGCAAAAUGUUACUGAAUAAAUCAGAGUACUGCAUUAAUCUUGUCACUGACUUACUCUUCUUUUUUGCACACUGAACUAAUGGCCAGAGCAGUUAUUGGACCAACUUCUUUACAUUUUUAUUUUUAAACAUGGUUUGGUGACCUAGUUGGACAAUCUAUGUUUUUAGCAGUUUUUUUUCUAGUUAUUUGUAAAUGUGAAAUCCUUCCCCCUUCCCUCGUUCCUUUAGCAAUUGUGCUGACAUUGUUCUUGAGAGUUUAUAUAGUGAAUUGAGAAGCUUAGAUUACGACAUUUGCACACAAAUUCAGAAAUCAAUUGUUGAGUCUUGGAUUGUUCCUCAAAUCAUAGCUGAAGCACAUUGUCGAAGCCAUUGCCUAAUUAUGUGGUCUUGUUCUCAAAAUUGUUGGAUAAGUCUCCAAGAAACUCAUAUCUGUUUGGCAUAUUAAGUUCUUACUUUGAUUAUCCAGUUUACAAUGUCUUUUAGCAUCACAUGGUAUUUCUCUUGAUAUUCUGUCAGUUGGGUCUUAUAGCAAAAAUCACUUUAAAAAAGUUACCUGUAAAAUUUAUUUACCUUAGUGCAUUCUGUAACCGAGAUGUGUGAUGAGGUGAAUGCAGAAGAAAUGCCUUCUUGCAAGCAGAAAGCCUUUGUUAAAGACUCUACAAAUGAUUCUCUGCAACGGAAGAGUAGAUUAUUCUCUCUUUUUUUUUUCCUGUCAAGUUAUCGGUGCUUGUACUAUGAAGUGAUAAGAACUGUUUUUUUUUCCUUUUACCUGUGUGGACAGCUGUUAAAAAGGAACAUAAAGAUAAAUAGGCUACCAUUUUUCUAUCUAGUUACAUAAUUACACUUGCUCUGAUUUUCUAUGGUGUUUUCUUGAUGUUCUUGCUUUAUUAAGCCUAUAAAAUUCUCAGCAAGAACUCACAUGAAGGUGCUCUUGUCAGAUGGAAGAUUAACAACUUUGAGCAAUCCAAUGGAUAAGAAGUGAUUGCAUAAUACUAAGAAGUUAAAACAAUUUACAAACUAAGGAAUAAAGAACAAAGUGCUUGAGGUUCUUGUCAACUGUCCAUAAGAAUGUUUCAGCUCCAAAUUCUGCCUAUGAAGGUAUUGUUGAUAGACUGUUGCUUGGUCUUAAAAGUCUGGGUGCUGCAACCUUGUUGGUGCAAGUUCAAGUAUUGAGUGCGAUCACCAGCUAGCCUCUUAUAUCUUUCCUGAAAUUCUGUGAACAGUAGUUUGUCAUUAAAUUGUUCCAAUAUUCAUGUUUGGAAUAUUUCCAAGUUAUCCAUUCAAGAACACUGUUUUGAUGAGAUCAUGACUAGGUUACAUUGAUGUAUUCCUGUCUGUGUUGCAUCC